AGCAACACGUGGAUAACCUACCUAUAAGACUGGGAUAACUUCGGGAAACCGGAGCUAAUACCGGAUAAUAUUUUGAACCGCAUGGUUCAAAAGUAAAAGACGGUCUUGCUGUCACUUAUAGAUGGAUCCGCGCUGCAUUAGCUAGUUGGUGAGGUAACGGCUUACCAAGGCAACGAUGCAUAGCCGACCUGAGAGGGUGAUCGGCCACACUGGAACUGAGACACGGUCCAG
This 231-nucleotide ribosomal RNA is filed under the name uncultured Staphylococcus sp. RNAcentral describes it as "partial 16S ribosomal RNA". It matches the Rfam family "Bacterial small subunit ribosomal RNA", at positions 109 to 334 of the family's 1533-position model. The record is from RNAcentral. Lineage: Bacteria; Bacillati; Bacillota; Bacilli; Caryophanales; Staphylococcaceae.